UUUUUCAUAGACACUGACAGGCAGUUGCGCUCUGCAGCAACUCCAAUACCAAGUCCACAAAGCAGUGGAGACUUUUCAGGGUUGGGUUCAACCGGUGGUUUUGUAAUGAGCUGUAGAGUGCAAGGAGAAGGGAAGCAUAGCAAACCAUUGGUUCAAUUAGCAAUGCGACAUGUGACAUGCGUGGAGGAUGCUGCAAUCUUUAUGGCACUUGCAGCAGCAGUUGAUCUUAGUAUUGUGGCAUGCAGGCCUUUCCGGAGGAGGCUUAGGAGAGGGUCUCGCCAUUCUAUAUGAAAGAGGAAGUUAAUUGAGUUAUUAAUUUUCCUGAUCUGAGAAUGGCUUCAUUUUACUUUGUUACUACUGUAACUUUAGGCAUUGUGUACAUGAUCUCCGGUAAUUGUUAAGUGGGUCAUAAGCUAUCAAUACACAGCCCACAUGACUACCAACUUACCAAGGCUUGAUUUUAUAUAGUUUUCAUACUUCUGAUUAUGGUAGAUUUUUCCAUUAAAAAAAAA
RNAcentral lists this unclassified non-coding RNA (512 nucleotides) under Hevea brasiliensis (rubber tree). Lineage: Eukaryota; Viridiplantae; Streptophyta; Magnoliopsida; Malpighiales; Euphorbiaceae. The record is from RNAcentral.